Molecule: ribosomal RNA, 666 nt
Filed under: Triticum aestivum (bread wheat)
Lineage: Eukaryota; Viridiplantae; Streptophyta; Magnoliopsida; Poales; Poaceae
Description: partial small subunit ribosomal RNA
Source: RNAcentral
AUGGCCGGCAAGGAGGAGGCGGGGAAGUUGAUGGUGAGUCCGGGCAGCGCUGCCAAUUCGACGGAGGCCAGCGUCGAUGGUCCUGCGGCGGUGUUCCCCUCCGCCGCCGGAUCCAUCUACAAGGAGGGUGACGAGUCUUUCGAGUCAGACAAGGGGGUGACUGCGAUGGACAAGAUGCUUGGGGAGGCGAAUCUGUCAUCCGCCGUCGCCAAUCAGCCGGCCGCAGCACCACCAGGUCCAAACAAGGGCAAGGUUCGGCUGUCGAAAGCCGAGAUUAGGACCAUAAUUGCGCUGAAGCCGGAGCAACACCCCAGCGCCGAUUACCUGGACGAUCUGGCAGAGUAUUUUCCUCUGGAGUGGAUUGAGGAAAGGAAGCGUGCCCACGCUGACAGUGUAGAGCUUUUCAAGAAGAUGGACGACGAUUUCGAAGAGUACCGGCAGGAGGUCAUCGCGUCUGUGCGGGACAAGGGCUACUACGAGGUCGAUGAAGAACUCAUCGCCAACAGGGAAAGGGGGAACGAAAACGCUGCCGAACAAUGGAAGAAGAUUGAUUGGACUGGAAUACAGAUUGCUAUCCCGGAGGACAGGCUGAGGGAUUCUGAUAGCUAUCGUCCAUACGUUCCUGACCAAGAUGAUGCUCUUGUUGAAGCUCUUGUGAUCGAGUGA